Molecule: long non-coding RNA, 1381 nt
Filed under: Prunus dulcis (almond)
Lineage: Eukaryota; Viridiplantae; Streptophyta; Magnoliopsida; Rosales; Rosaceae
Description: sRNA ncRNA
Source: RNAcentral
CCGCCAUCUUCUUUUUCUCCGUCUCUACCGCCAUCUUCUCCUAAACCCUAAAAAUUAGAACCAACAAAACUUAAUUUCUGAGCCCCCUUUUGAUAUCUCCGAUUCGAUUUGAUUCGUAUCGAGAUCUGAGGACGCGAUGGGCCAUUUCAACCUCUCACGCUUCAUUGUCGCCAUUAUCCUCUGCGUCAUCGUCUCUGUUCCUUUCACUAAAGCAUGUCCAUCACAUCACUAUCAUAAAUGAGCAAUACCGGUGGAUUGCAUAUUUGUCAAUCUUCAUAGGAUUGCAUAUUCGAAUGAACUAGUUCAGGUUCUGGUUCUGGUGAAAUCUGUAAGCUUGAGGUUUGUUUCCUUCUACUUUAUGUCUCUAUGUUUGCAGUGUUACUGAUGUGAACCUUUUGGUUGGUCAAUUUUGUGUUUUGCUUUCUCCAAGAUUAUGACGAUUAGAUUGGGGAUUUAUGUGGAUUUGUUUCUGAUUGGAUUGAAAUUUUUUGAAAUUUACAGAAUUUGAUUUACUUGAUUUCAUGAUGGCUUUGCUUUUUGGUUCGUUGAGUUAUUACUAUGCUGUUUGAUCAAAAACUGCAAUGCAUUUUGUUUUUGUUAAGCAUGUAUUAUGAUUGGAUUUGGUUUUUAAAAAAAAUAUUUGAAGUGUAUGUAUCGAAAAUUAUAAUAUUCUAGGUGCAUUUUAAGUUGAUUUGUUGAGCAUCUCUCAUCAUGGUUGUGCUUUCUAGGUUCCUUAUUCAUUACAAUUGCAACAUCUUUAUCAGUAUAAUGCAUGAGUUAUUCUUCUUUCAUAAUUUGAUUUUGGUUGUGCUUAGAAACUAUAUUUAAAAGAGAUUAGCUCAUCAUUUGUUUGAUGACAGUAUUAGUUCUUUUGCUGCAACACAAGUUUAAAAGAGAUGGUAUUGAUGUUCAAAUGGGAUGUCGGGUUGUUAGUGUCUCUAAUAAGGAAAUCACAAUGAAGGUGAAAUCCAAGAUAGAGUCUCUGUACAACAUGUGUUGGUUGUGUGGUCUACUGGUAUUAGGACUCUCUAGUUGAGAGGGACUUAAUGAGACAGAUUAGGCAGGUUUGUUUCAUAACAUUUAUGCACAUACAAAGCCUGAGAAAUAUAGAAUUUACAUUUUAGUCAAUUGGUCUUUUACAUCGAGAGUUUUCCCAAUCUGCUUGGACUAAUAUGGCUGCUAUAUGGGUCACAUGCUUACUCAAGCAUAAUUUAUAUUCCGCUCCAUGUGUAGGCUGAUAAACGUGUUCUAUUCACUGAUGAAUGGUUGUAUGUAAAGGGUUGUGAAGAUAUGUAUGCAAUUCGUGAUUGUGCUUCGUCUUGGAACCAAAGAGCCAAGGUUUGCUGAUUUUUCUUUUUCACUUUUGAUUCAUAAUGUUCAC